GCUGUUAGUUGAUGAAGUUAAGUUGUGUUGUUGCAUGUAUGUUCACAAUUGCUAAUGUACUGCACACAUUAAUUUUUUUAAUAUUGUAUUGUAAAAGGUUUUUUUUUGUUGGUUGCAAAUGUUGAUCCUUGACUAUAUACUGCACCCCCCUCCCCACCCCCUAAAUUUUGGUAUAACAAUAAGUCUGUAAUAGGAUUAGAAGGUUAAAUUGUGUUUUACUGUGGAAUUUGUUAAAUUGUGUUGUAAAUAAUGGUUUGUUGGCAAGUCUAAUAUAUUUAAAUAAGGAUACUUGAAUGUGGAGGCUUUUAUACAUUGUUCUUGACAAGCCACCGUUAUGCUCUACUAUGUUGAUUGGAAGCAUUUGGAAUUUACUUGCAUUUGUGGGGAAGAACCUAUUAGAGCCGAUAAAUAAAUCAUGUUCUAUUACUUGUAUCAUGUUUGUCAUAGUAAUACAGCAGGGAAACCAACUGCUUAAAACAAAUAUGUACCCACUGAAUUUGUCAGUACAUGUCCUUGAUAUGUAACCUUGCUCUCUGGUUUUAGGUAACAGUUUUCCCCGGUAAGGGGGAUGUCCUGGUGCUUUAGAGCAUUUUUUUUAUUCAAAUGUUGUGUUUGGUCCAAUUUCAAUGGAAGUAGGGAGAAGGGAAUGAAAUAUGAGAUACAUUCUUGAUUUUUUUUUUNCCUCUCUCUCUCUCCUGAACUGAUAAUGUUUGUGCUUGGCAGGCUCUAUGUGCGAGGAACAAUCUUGGGCUACAAGAGAUCGAAAUCAAACCAGUACCCCAACACAUCUUUAGUUCAGAUUGAAGGAGUGAACACAAAGGAAGAGGUCUCAUGGUACCAAGGCAAGCGCGUGGCUUACAUUUACAAGGCCAAAGUUAAGGUUAAGGGGUCCCAUUAUCGUUGCAUUUGGGGCAAGGUCAUUAGGCCUCAUGGUAACACCGGUAUUGUUCGUGCUAAGUUCACCUCCAAUCUCCCACCCAAAUCCAUGGUAAUGUAUAGAUACAAGCUGCUUGUAUGCAUAAGCUGUUGAAAUGUGAAUAAGUAUUGAUUUUUUGUUGUUGGUGUUGUUUCGGUGUAGGGAUCGAGGGUGAGGGUCAUGAUGUUCCCGAGCAAUAUAUGAGGUACUACUCAGCUCAUUGUGUUUCGUAAUCUUGAAUGGUUGUUUGAAUUUAUUUGAUUUAAUUGGCUGUUAGUUGAUGAAGUUAAGUUGUGUUGUUGCAUGUAUGUUCACAAUUGCUAAUGUACUGCACACAUUAAUUUUUUUAAUAUUGUAUUGUAAAAGGUUUUUUUUUGUUGGUUGCAAAUGUUGAUCCUUGACUAUAUACUGCACCCCCCUCCCCACCCCCUAAAUUUUGGUAUAACAAUAAGUCUGUAAUAGGAUUAGAAGGUUAAAUUGUGUUUUACUGUGGAAUUUGUUAAAUUGUGUUGUAAAUAAUGGUUUGUUGGCAAGUCUAAUAUAUUUAAAUAAGGAUACUUGAAUGUGGAGGCUUUUAUACAUUGUUCUUGACAAGCCACCGUUAUGCUCUACUAUGUUGAUUGGAAGCAUUUGGAAUUUACUUGCAUUUGUGGGGAAGAACCUAUUAGAGCCGAUAAAUAAAUCAUGUUCUAUUACUUGUAUCAUGUUUGUCAUAGUAAUACAGCAGGGAAACCAACUGCUUAAAACAAAUAUGUACCCACUGAAUUUGUCAGUACAUGUCCUUGAUAUGUAACCUUGCUCUCUGGUUUUAGGUAACAGUUUUCCCCGGUAAGGGGGAUGUCCUGGUGCUUUAGAGCAUUUUUUUUAUUCAAAUGUUGUGUUUGGUCCAAUUUCAAUGGAAGUAGGGAGAAGGGAAUGAAAUAUGAGAUACAUUCUUGAUUUUUUUUUUCCUUCCUCCCUUUCAUUCCUAGCAAAUUGAAUUAGAGCUUAAACUUACUGAAUUAAGGAGAAAAGCUCCGAUUUCUAUAUUACUCACUUUUUUCAUACAUCAACUUAAUAAAAUUGACCUCGUUAAGUCGUUAUAUUUACUCUUCCUUCAUACCUCAAUUUUUUCUCUUAUAGUUUUGUUCACAAUUCCCAUCUCAUUCCAUUUCAAUUUAUCUCCCUGAACUAACAGAGCAUUAAUGUUUCA
Molecule: long non-coding RNA, 2108 nt
Filed under: Daucus carota (carrot)
Lineage: Eukaryota; Viridiplantae; Streptophyta; Magnoliopsida; Apiales; Apiaceae
Description: long non-coding RNA (DCAR_LNC005752)
Source: RNAcentral